This 1248-nucleotide long non-coding RNA is filed under the name Bos indicus x Bos taurus (hybrid cattle). RNAcentral describes it as "lncRNA (ENSBIXG00005028400.1)". Lineage: Eukaryota; Metazoa; Chordata; Mammalia; Artiodactyla; Bovidae. The record is from RNAcentral.
UGGGAGUUCUGAUUAAGGUACCAUCAUGGUUGAGUUCUGAUGAGAGCCUUCUUUCUGCUUUACAGUUGCUGAAUGCCAAAGAAUUGAUGCUUUUGAACUGUGGUGUUGGAGAAGACUCUUGAGAGUCCCUUGGACUGCAAGGAGAUCCAACCAGUCCAUUCUGAAGGAGAUCAGCCCUGGGAUUUCUUUGGAAGGAAUGAUGCUAAAGCUGAAACUCCAGUACUUUGGCCACCUCAUGCGAAGAGUUGACUCAUUGGAAAAGACUCUGAUGCUGGGAGGGAUUGGGGGCAGGAGGAGAAGAGGACGACAGAGAAUGAGAUGGCUGGAUGGCAUCACCGACUCGAUGGACAUGAGUCUGGGUGAACUCCGGGAGUUGGUGAUGGACAGGGAGGCCUGGCGUGCUGUGAUUCAUGGGGUUGCAAAGAGUCGGACACGACUGAGCGACUGAACUGAACUGAACUGAACUGAACCUUCUUACUUAGCACAAAGCAGAGAGAAGAAGCAAACUCUCUCUAUUAUGAGAGCACUAAUCCCAUUUAUGAGGGCUCCACCUCAUGACUUAAUCACUUCUGAAAGAAAGGCUCUGCCUCCUAAAGCCCAUGCAUUCAAGGUUAGGGUUCCAACAUAUGAUUUUGGGCAGACACAAAUAUUCAGUCCAUAACAUGGGUUAAAGAGGUGAAGUGAUGGGAGUUGGGAGGAGGGUACUAGUAGCACCAUUACAGUCACACUGUUGGACCAGUGAAGAUGAGUUCUCCAAAAGAAAGAAUGAAUCGUUCUUACAAGAUGGAGUGAUGGCCACAUAAGAUAGGAAGCAAAGACCAACAAUGAUAAAGGAAGGUUUGUAAACCUCCAGUGACAUUAAGAAACCAAGCUCUUCUGGAUGAAAAUGAGAGAAGUCGUCUAUGUGGUGAAAAGUAUGUACAUCGACUUGAAAUCUGAGAAAAUGUUGAUGUCUUCUUGUUCUUCCACCAUCCAGGCUUUAAGAAUCCCUAUUUCUUCACUGACUUUGCAUCUGCCCCAGGUAAGAGGCAGUAUUUUCCAAAGAUGGUCACAAAAGUGUCUCCCAUCUCACAUGCUCUUCUUCGGGGUGACCUUGACACUUCUGCUCUUGGGUAGUAGGGUCUGUGUUCCUUCCCCUGGCUGGGUGAAACUUUGUGACUGCCUCGACCAUUAAAGUAUGACAAAGUGACACAAUGGGACUGGGAUGGUCAUGAACGUGCCGUGCAUGUCCCUCUUGUUCUUUUAGAG